This 460-nucleotide ribosomal RNA is filed under the name uncultured bacterium. RNAcentral describes it as "partial 16S ribosomal RNA". It matches the Rfam family "Bacterial small subunit ribosomal RNA", at positions 338 to 795 of the family's 1533-position model. The record is from RNAcentral.
CCUACGGGAGGCAGCAGUGAGGAAUAUUGGUCAAUGGGCGCGAGCCUGAACCAGCCAAGUAGCGUGAAGGAUGACUGCCCUACGGGUUGUAAACUUCUUUUAUAAAGGAAUAAAGUGAGGCACGUGUGCCUUUUUGUAUGUACUUUAUGAAUAAGGAUCGGCUAACUCCGUGCCAGCAGCCGCGGUAAUACGGAGGAUCCGAGCGUUAUCCGGAUUUAUUGGGUUUAAAGGGAGCGUAGGUGGGUUGUUAAGUUAGUUGUGAAAGUUUGAGGCUCAACCGUAAAAUUGCCAUUGAUACUGGUAGUCUUGAGUACAGUUGAGGGAGGCGGAAUUCGUGGUGUAGCGGUGAAAUGCUUAGAUAUCACGCAGAACACCGAUUGCGAAGGCAGCUUACCAAACUGCCACUGACGUUGAUGCACGAAAGUGUGGGUAUCAAACAGGAUUAGAUACCCGGGUAGUC